GAGAGCAUCCAUACCACCCUGAAAGCCCCCAAUCUCCUCUGAUCUCAGAAACUAAGCAGGGUCGGGCCUGGUUAGUACUUGGAUGGAAGAGUAUUUUAAAAAAAACAAUUAUAGCAGACUCCCA
Mesocricetus auratus (golden hamster) is the source of this 124-nucleotide ribosomal RNA. Lineage: Eukaryota; Metazoa; Chordata; Mammalia; Rodentia; Cricetidae. The record is from Ensembl.